This is a small nucleolar RNA of Gadus morhua (Atlantic cod), 124 nucleotides long. Ensembl annotates it as small nucleolar RNA SNORA65. Lineage: Eukaryota; Metazoa; Chordata; Actinopteri; Gadiformes; Gadidae. The record is from Ensembl.
CCCGCCACUCUGCCCGUCUGUUAGUGACUGUGUAUAGUCCAGUGGAGGCUAAGAGAGACUCAGCUCUAGGAAGCAGGCUACCCAGAAAAGUGGGCAAUCCUGUGCCGAAAGGCCUGGUACAAUA